UAACUGUAGGUGAACCUGCAGUUGGAUCAUUGCAAGGCACUAAACCGGAAAGGGUGGGUUGCUUGCGACGGCGGCUGGCGGAAACGCCGGACCGUCUUCGCCAACCCUUCGAACGAGCCCGGAUGCUGCUUGACCCAUCCGAUCUUGGCUUGCCAAGGUCCUGGUGGCUGAGCAAUGCACGAGCUGGGCAAGUCGGCGCCCGGGAAAUGCGGUGGCCUCGGCCACGCGGCACACCCGAAUGGCGAUUUCCGCACCGUUCACAACUGGCCACGAUCGAUGUCUCGGCUCAG
RNAcentral lists this unclassified non-coding RNA (290 nucleotides) under soil metagenome. Its description in RNAcentral is "partial internal transcribed spacer 1". The record is from RNAcentral.